GAGUUUCAUCAUUUAUUGAACGCAUGACAAUAAUCUUUUCAACUCUAACAUUUUGAUGGGCAGUAUAAUAACAUAGUAACUGUUACCUUAACUCCCGAUGUAGACUCAUACUGAUAGGUAUGCUGAUUUUUCUACCGCGCCAUUCAAUAAAUAUAUGAAAGGUAUAUAUUAUUUGAUUUUAUGUUUUCCGUCGAUUAUAUGAUUAGCCCCAUGAAGGGACGGUUGGGUAGUUUUGCGGUUAAAGCGUUCGCUCGUCCCGCUGAAGACCCGCUUCGAUUCCGUACGUUGAUACAUAGUGGGAAACCAAUUUCUAGUGUCCCCGUCGUGUUAUUGUGUGAACAUUGCUGAAAGCGGCGCAAAAGUAAACUCACACCAUGAAAAACGUUUUGAGCAAACAAUGAUGAUGUCACAAAAAUAACCACAUACGUAUCGAAGGUUUUUAUCUCAUAGCAGCAUGUUUUGUUUUUACAAAUUCCAAUCUGCAGUUCAAUCUGCAGUGAUGUACAUAUAUAACCCAUCACGUAUAAUACUUAACACCUUUGUACCAUCAAAAGUGAUUUGUUUUAUAAACCGGCUUAAACCAUAUUCCAGAUGAGAGAGGUCUUGGUUGUCAUGCAGAAGCUGUCAUAUUGGUGUUUGUCUUUAUAUGCAGGACAAAUAAGUUGUUGACUUUUUGCACACUGUGAUGAAACAUAUCGGUUUGAACAUUUUAACAAUAAAAAUAUUUUUCGA
Haliotis rubra (blacklip abalone) is the source of this 732-nucleotide long non-coding RNA. RefSeq lists it as uncharacterized. The transcript has 2 exons. NCBI's taxonomy places the organism in Eukaryota, Metazoa, Mollusca, Gastropoda, Lepetellida, Haliotidae. The record is from RefSeq and is a predicted model, not a curated record.